AACCCUUGUCUUAAUUGCCAUCAUUUAGUUGGGCACUUUAAGAGACUGCCGGUGUUAAGCCGGAGGAAGUGGGGAUGACGUCAAGUCCUCAUGGCCUUUAUGCCCAGGGCUACACACGUGCUACAAUGGGCGGUACAAAGAGAAGCAACCUCGCGAGGGUGAGCAAAUCUCAAAAAGCCGUUCUCAGUUCGGAUUGAAGUCUGCAACUCGACUUCAUGAAGUCGGAAUCGCUAGUAAUCGCGGAUCAGCAUGCCGCGGUGAAUACGUUCCCGGGCCUU
RNAcentral lists this ribosomal RNA (278 nucleotides) under uncultured Syntrophaceae bacterium. RNAcentral's name for it is "partial 16S ribosomal RNA". It matches the Rfam family "Bacterial small subunit ribosomal RNA", at positions 1100 to 1382 of the family's 1533-position model. The record is from RNAcentral. Lineage: Bacteria; Pseudomonadati; Thermodesulfobacteriota; Syntrophia; Syntrophales; Syntrophaceae.